UAAGGAAUAUUGCUCAAUGGGAGAAAUCCUGAAGCAGCAACGCCGCGUGGAGGAUGAAGGGUCUAUGACUUGUAAACUCCUGCAAAGAAGGAAAAAAUUCCCAUUUGAUGGGAGAUGAUGGUACUUCUGGAGUAAGCCCCGGCUAACUACGUGCCAGCAGCCGCGGUAAUACGUAGGGGGCAAGCGUUGUCCGGAUUUACUGGGUGUAAAGGGUGCUCAGGCGGAUUUGUAAGUCAGAGGUGAAAUCUUACAGCUUAACUGUGAAACUGCCUUUGAUACUGCAAGCCUAGAGUAUGGAAGAGAGUGAUGGAAUAUCUGGUGUAGCAGUGAAAUGCGUAGAUAUCAGAUAGAACACCAAUGGCGAAGGCAGUCACUUGGUCCAUUACUGACGCUAAAGCACGAAAGCGUGGGUAGCAAACA
This 420-nucleotide ribosomal RNA is filed under the name uncultured bacterium. Its description in RNAcentral is "bacterial SSU rRNA". It matches the Rfam family "Bacterial small subunit ribosomal RNA", at positions 355 to 774 of the family's 1533-position model. The record is from RNAcentral.